UCUCAUACUCCUAUUGCUGUUAGACGGAUAGCUUGGUUUUGACUGUGAUGAAGGACGUGGCAAGCUGCGAUAAGCUCCGGGGAUCUGCAUGCGAGAAUUGAUCCGGAGAUUUCCGAAUGCGAUGAAACGUGUAUAAUCCGAGAGGAUAAUGUACGCUGGGAAUUGAAACAUCUUAGUACCAGCAGGAAAAGAAAACAAAUAUGUGAUAACCUUAAUAGCAGCGAGCGAAAAGGUUGAAGGGCAAACUGAAUCUCCUUUUGAAAAGAAGGCAGAGAUGUGGUAGGUUGUAUCCUAAGUCAAUAGAUCAAAGUUUCCUGGAACGGAAUGCCUUAGAGAGUGAAAGCCUCGUAGAUUGUCUUGAUAUGGAAAUACCUAAAAGAUUAGUGUCUCCCGAAUUGGAGGCAUGAAUACAGCAGAAUUAACUGCUAACCCUAAAUAUUAGUCAAAGUCCGAUAGUGAACAAGUACUGCGAAGGAAAGCUGAAAAGAACUCAUAAUAGAGAGUUAAAAGAUUUGAAAUCUAACAGUUACAGUUGGUUAGUGCCCUCUAAGGAGGGUUCUAACGUACGUCUUGAAAAACGGCCCAAGGAGUUUAAUUGAGUGGCAAGGUUAACAUUAUGGUAGCCAUAGCGAAAGCAAGUCAGAAAUGGCGAAUUAGUCACUCAUGUAAGACCUGAAGCCAGAUGAUCUAAUCAUGGGCAGGAUGAAGUUUUCCGAAAGGGAAAUGGAGGUCCGAACCUGUGCUACAUGCAUGUGCUUGGAUGACCUGUGAUUAGGGGUGAAAAGCCUAUCGAAUCUGGCAAUGGCUGGUUCCUGUUGAAAUAUGCCUUAGUAUAGCCUCGUUAUUCUUUCUCACGGUGUAAAGUACGGAUAGGUGUUGCAGAGGGUUUUUCCUACGGACAACUUUCCAACUCGGAAAUUGUGAGACGAAAAUAACGGGAAACAGCGACGGCGCGUAAGGUGACGUCGCGAGACCGGAACAAUGGAGACUAUAGUUAAGGUCCUAAAGUUCAUGUUAAGUGUAUCAAAAGGAGUCUUAAACCUGAGACACUGGGGAGGUAGACAUAGAAGCCGUCAUCCUUUAAAGAAAGCGUAACAGCUCACCUAUUGAGGUUUGAGGCCCUGAAAAUGGACAGGACUAAAACAUGACACCGAUACUAUAGACAUACUCUUUUUUAGAGUAUUGUGGUAAACAGGCGUCUUUUCAGCGCAGAAGCAUUUUCGAAAGAAAGUGUGGAGCUGGAAGGAAUGAGAAUCUUGGGAGGAGUAAGAACUGAUCUUGUUGAGAAUCACAAGAGAUCGUAAGGGCAAGGUUUCCUUGGCAAUAACAAUUAACCAAGGGUUAGUCGGACCCUAAGUCAUACCUUAACCGGUUAUGGCGAUGGAAUUCAGGUUAAUAUUCCUGAACUAUCUAUCUUCGUUUAGUGCACGAUUUGUUUUCGGAUAGGCAAGCAUCUGAGAGGAUGCCUGCAUAAGGAAUUCUGGGGAGCGUAAUGCGUUAAUCCAGAAGAACUUGUGUAGUGAAAAUUGUUGAUUCCAAGAAUCAAUGAAAAGAUUGUGCAUAGAAUAUAGAUAUCCGUACCUAGAUUUGGCACUGAUGCCCUAGCUGAGAAGGCUAAGAUCUGAAAGUUUAACAUAGUUAAGGGAACUCGGCAUAAAUGGCCCUUUAGCUUCGGUAUAAGGGGUGUCUACAUUUGUCUUUUUAGAAAUGAAAAGGCAUUGGUAGAUCACAGUCACAAGGAUGGUCCGACUGUUUAUCAAAAACGUAGCCGGUUGCUAAUCUGAAAAGACUUGUAUAACCGGUGAAACCUGCCCAGUGGUGGUGCUUCAAAGCGUGUUUCAACGCGUCUAAGACCCAUCAAACGGCGGGACUAAUUCCUGAGUCUCUUAAGGUAGCGUAAUACCUUGUCGUCUGAAUGGCGACUUGCAUGAAUGGUUUAACGUGAUUGUCACUGUCCCUAACCGGAAUCUUCUGAAAUUAUUGUCCGGUGAACAGACCGGAGACACCUAACGGGAAGCUAAGACCUUGUGGACCUUUACUGCAACAUGUUGUUGUGAGUUUAUGAUUGGUGCAUAGCAUAGGUAGGAGAAUACGCGCAGAUUCGGCGAGGCGG
This 2113-nucleotide ribosomal RNA is filed under the name Candidatus Omnitrophota bacterium. RNAcentral describes it as "partial 23S ribosomal RNA". It matches the Rfam family "Archaeal large subunit ribosomal RNA", at positions 1 to 2242 of the family's 2987-position model. The record is from RNAcentral. Lineage: Bacteria; Pseudomonadati; Candidatus Omnitrophota.